GAGUUUGAUCCUGGCUCAGGACGAACGCUGGCGGCGUUUUAACACAUGCAGGUCGAACGGUGAAGCUCCGCUUGCUGGAGUGGAUCAGUGGCGAACGGGUGAGUAACACGUGAGCAACCUGCCCCAAACUCUGGAAUAAGCGCUGGAAACGGCGUCUAAUACUGGAUAUGAGAUCAAACCGCAUGGUUAUGGUCUGGAAAGUUUUUCGGUUUGGGAUGGGCUCGCGGUCUAUCAGCUUGUUGGUGAGGUAAUGGCUCACCAAGGCGACGACGGGUAGCCGGCCUGAGAGGGCGACCGGCCACACUGGGACUGAGACACGGCCCAGACUCCUACGGGAGGCAGCAGUGGGGAAUAUUGCACAAUGGGCGAAAGCCUGAUGCAGCCGACGCCCGCGUGAGGGAUGACGGCCUUCGGGUUGUGAACCUCUUUCAGCAGGAAGAAGCGAAAGUGACGUACCUGCAGAAAGAAGACCCGGCUAACUACGUGCCAGCAGCCGCGGUAAUACUAGGGUGCGAAGCGUUGUCGGAAUUAUUGGGGCCGUAAGAGCUUGUAGCGGUAUGUCGCGUCUGGCCGUGAAAAACCCCGAGCUCAACCUGGGCGUGCGGGUGGGUACCGGGCCAGGCUAGAAUGUGGUAAGGGAGACUGGAACUCUUGGUCGGUGAAUGCGCCGAUUCACGAAGAACACCCGUUGGCGAAGGCCC
This 701-nucleotide ribosomal RNA is filed under the name uncultured Terrabacter sp. RNAcentral's name for it is "bacterial SSU rRNA". It matches the Rfam family "Bacterial small subunit ribosomal RNA", at positions 9 to 723 of the family's 1533-position model. The record is from RNAcentral. Lineage: Bacteria; Bacillati; Actinomycetota; Actinomycetes; Micrococcales; Intrasporangiaceae.